GAACCUAAGGGCAGCUUAGCCCUGACUGCCGGCCCAUUGGGUGGAGAUGGAGAUUUGGCUACUCUGCUUGGCUUUGGUGGGGAUUCCCUUCAUUCCUGACUUUUUUUUAGGUCCAUCCUUUCUUAACAAGAGCUUGAAAAGAGAAAUAACCUCCACAGGAGAGGAGACCUGUUGGGGGUCAAGGAUAUUUGGGUAUCUUGAGUCUCUGUUAGAAAUUCUUAAUCAAAUUCUCAAGGUUUAUUUUUAAGAGACAAUAGAAUGCCAAGUGCCCAAGACUGAAUCCUAAUUU
This 289-nucleotide small nuclear RNA is filed under the name Propithecus coquereli (Coquerel's sifaka). Its description in RNAcentral is "7SK RNA (ENSPCOG00000001057.1)". The stretch from base 45 to 289 matches the Rfam family "7SK RNA", at positions 1 to 295 of the family's 331-position model. From Rfam's summary of the family: 7SK was discovered as an abundant small nuclear RNA in the mid-70s but a possible function has only recently been suggested. Two independent studies have found that 7SK RNA binds the CDK9/cyclin T complex (known as elongation factor P-TEFb). P-TEFb activates transcription by phosphorylating the C-terminal domain of RNA polymerase II. The record is from RNAcentral. Lineage: Eukaryota; Metazoa; Chordata; Mammalia; Primates; Indriidae.